CAAUGUUCAAGUGCAAGUAUACAACUUUCUAAAGACCAUACUGAAGUAGCGUUGCAUCAACAAUUCCUAUAUCUUACAGGAGGUUUUAAACUGCUAUUGCUAACUGUUUUGUGAAUCCAUCUUUGCAGAUUGUAAAAACAGUGAACAUCAUCGAUGCCAAAAUCAGAGAUCGGAUGUUAAGGUGAGAAAUGUAAUACAUAACCUCCUCACCCAUCUAUGCCCAGUAUGAAGUUGCUAAUCAUCUUUCCAUGAGGCACGGUGCCCUUGGCCACGAUCUCCAGUCUAGAUAACUGUCAUGUGGAGCUGUAUGGCUAACUACCUUAUUUUUCUUGUUUAUUUCUUUUUAGGGGAACCCAAAGGGGUUUAAUUUUUAGUUUGGCGGUAUAAAUAUAAAUGGGUUGCUGAUAUGAUUUUGUUAUCCCUUUUUAUCUCCACCUUGGGACAUGAGGCUCUAUAAUAGCAAAUAUAUUUUGCUUUCUACUUAGAUGACAUCUAUUAAAUAUAAAUUUGUGUAAAAAACAAUUUUCUGCGAGGAGAGCCGGGGCGGCGGGGAUUGCGGCCUCGGCGCAGGGAGAGGAGAGCCGGGGUGGGGAGAUUGCUGCGAUGUCGGGCGGAGGCGUGGUGAAGCCGUGGUGGACGCUCUCGUUGCAUCCUUAUAGAGUAGUAGAUAUGGUGUCUGUGCGUUAUCUGUAUACCAUUGCAGUUUAGAAAUAUAUAAUACUUCAGUAUACCAUUGCAUAUAUUCAAUGACGUUAUUACUUGAUCAUGGCCUCAAUAACGUCAUUUCUGAAUUUGUAUCUAUCUAGAAAGUAAUCCAGAGCUUAUUCACCGCAUAGCAAAAAUCUGAGGUUUUAUACACGUCAACACUGGUAUAAUUCUUCUCUGCGACGACAACACUGGUAUAAUUGUUCUCCAAAUGGAUAUGGCUCAGCAGCACCAUAUUAGUAGCAGAGUUGUUUUUCAAAACCUGAGGUUUUAUGGCUUUGAAGAAUGUUUUGUGCUGAUAUCUAUUUUUUGGGAUAGAAAAUAAAAUAACACUGCUAUAAUUGUUCUCUUCCAAAUUAUGAUUCACAAUGCAUACACUGGUAUAAUUGUUCUCUUCAAGCUCCUGCUCCCAGCCUCACCAUUACUUUUUGUCUAUAUGCAUUAGUAGUAUCUCUAGAUACACUAAUUCGAUCUGAGACAGUUCCUUGUGACUUCGUGACUGAAGUGAGCAUCUUUCUUUUUGAUACAGUUGUAGAAAUAUCUUUAUUUGUCGGCUUUUAAUUUUUUUGGUUAAUAAAUAGAAAGGAAGAUAUAGCAAAAAAUAAAUUAUAAGCUCUGAAGGUCAAAAAGAUCAGCAUUCAGUCAUGAAUCUGCUCCAGGAUGGAUUAAAAUCAUUUUUUCUCCAAAUGCUUUCACUGGCGCAGAUCCUCGUGCUCCCCGCAGGGCGCUUCAUGGGUCCGCAGGGCUCAUGGGCCAAUCUCAUUCGAGGUGCUUCUCUAUCUUUAGGAGUUGUCCAGCAGAAAAGUACUGCCAUGGCUGCAAUGUGAACUUGUGACAUGAGCCUAUUGAACAGACGGAUGUAGGCAUCAAUGGCUUCCUAACCAAGAGUUUCCUGGUUACCAGCCAAACCAAUCCAGCGAAUGAGAUUGGCCUGUAACCAAGUCAUAUAGAUUUAGGUUAUUAAAAUUCCUAAGGAGCACUUAUUUUUUGUGAAUGUUUCUUGUUUUUUUAUCAGGAGCAUGUUGAGCUUGAGAAGAGAUACCGGGAGCUAACUGACUUGCUGUACCACAAGCAAACACAAUUAGAAUCCAUGGCCAGCGAAAAGGCCGGAUUGGAGUUCCAACUGGAGAAAUAAUUGAAACAAUUUCGUGAAGUGCAGGUCGAAGCAGAAAGGAGUAAAGCUACUCGCAGAUCAGCAUCGUCGUGGGAAGAAGAUACUAAUAUCAAGGUAUUAGAGUAUGUUAACUGUGUUGCACCUGAAAAUUGUGUUUUUCAUCAUUCUUGGAUUUCAUGAUAAUUGAUGUUAUCCGGUCUUAAAUGUACCCAUUUAUUUGCCAUACAUUCUUAGACAAAU
Zea mays is the source of this 2059-nucleotide long non-coding RNA. RefSeq lists it as uncharacterized. The transcript is spliced from 3 exons. The record is from RefSeq and is a predicted model, not a curated record. Lineage: Eukaryota; Viridiplantae; Streptophyta; Magnoliopsida; Poales; Poaceae.